UUUGCAAAUUCCUCCCAAGUCAUGCCGUCUAGUCUUGGGUCCACAUAACACUUGAACCAUUCCCGUGCCUUUUUGCACUUUAAAGUGAACCCUGCCAUCUGAAUGGCCCUGCUGUCAUCUGCCCCUAGUUCAUCAGUUAUCGUCUUCACUACCCUCAGGUACUCAAAGGGGUCAUCCCCCGACUUGUAUUUGGGAGCAUCCAGCUUAAGGUAAUCUGUCAUCUUCACUUUGCUCCCACUGGCUGAGCUAGGUCUAGAAGGUUGAGUAACUGGGGCUACUGGUUCUGUAGGUGGUGGAGGUGGGGGUGCAGCAUUCCCCGAGGUGGGGUUUGCCGGGUGAGGAUAAAAGGGUGAGGGUGGAUAAGCUGGGUACUGGGGGUGAGGUGGAUAGAAAGGUGGAUAAGGCAUGUAUGUAGGGUAGGGGUUAAAGCUGGAGAAAUCCGAUGUGCCUCCCAUCGAAUACCCUGAACCCUGUGGGAAGGGUGGAUAAUGGGGUGAAAAACCAUACCCCGAGGCCUGAGCGCCUCCCUGAGACUCCCCUGUCCCUUCUUUCGUCAUGCUGACAUCCAGAUUCCCAUCCCUCCUCUAGUCCUCUUCCAUAACCUCCCUCACAUCUGAAGAACUUCCUCCUCUAUCUGUCCCCCUUCUACUAGCAUCAAAAGACCUUCUAGGGUCCCUUGACACUCUUUCUCUGCUUGAUCUACAUGACAUUGCCCUAGGCAAUGCAGGAAGAUGGGCGCUCGUGCCCUCAUCCUCAGGUGGCACUCCAGUCAAUUGUGCAGAUUGACGAGUUCCCCUCAUCCUGUUUUCUGAAAAACAGUACACAACACUAAAAUAUCAGCAUCAUAUGGUUCAUGUGGAAACACAUGAACCUGCAUCACAUACAUAUCAUUCAUAUCAUAGCAUUAAUGCACAUGUAUAAAAUCAUGGCAUUUCACAUCAUCAAAUAAGACAGGACUCCACAUCCUAUCCUAGUGGACAUGACCUUUCCUACUGUGCUUGACCUUCUAUAACAUCUAUGAGCCCGACACUCUAGGUUCGACCAUAUGAACCUAGGGCUCUGAUACCAUUCUGUAACGACUCGAGAAUCGGACCGCUACCGGCGCUAGGAUCCAGGUCGGCUUAAGGCCGCCGGGACCCGUAGCAAGCCUAACAUGCAUCCUGUUAACCUGUUUAAUCCCAUACAUGAUCGACAACAUACAUAAAAAUUAAAACUUUUCCUUUCAUCCAUACACCAAACUCAACCUGUGCAUGCACUAUACAUAGUCAUAAUUAUAACCAUUGACCCCUCUUUGGGAUCUCAUCAAUACCCCAAAUGGAAACAUAACCUGUGUUGAGUUGGUUUACAUAAACAUCAUAAACAUCUAAGAUCAUGUAUUAAAAGGGAUACCAAACACAUAGGGUCAAGCACAAUCUCUAAUCCUUAAUAUCAUUACAUUAUAUAACUUUACAUCAUUUUACAAUUUGUCAUGUCCACAUUCUAUCUAUUAAAUACACAUGACUUCAUUACUCAUACUGACCUCCUGGUCUACCCUGUACCUGCAAACCUGGGGGAUUAGGGAGAGGGGUGAGCUAUAAAGCCCAGUGAGCAGAAUAAUAAAAACAUUAUAUUAACAUUUCAUGCUCUUAUGGAAUGCAUCACAUCACAAACAUAUCACAUCAAGGAUGAACUUAUCACCAGUAGCCCUCUACAUAAUCCCAUAGUGCCAGAAUGUAGAAUGGGUCCUGGUCUUUCUCUUACAUAGCAUAACAUAACUUUCCAAUGUGCCAGAACGUAGAAUGGGUCCCACUGGUCUUACAUUCCGUACCGUACAUACCAUAUCGUCACAUCAUAGGUCGAGGGCUAUGGAUCAUUCAACGUUCAUCCACAUCAACAAUAAAAUAUGCAAUGCAACAUAUUCGUGAAUUCUAAUGCAAACAACCUAAUAUAUCUCAUGGUAUUAAUGAUGCGUGAAUCAUGCUACAAUGUCCAUUAUUUACUUUAAAAUGUAAUGAUUUAUUCCACUCACCUCUGGAUAGCUCUGACCAGACACUGGAGCAGCUGACUCACUGCUGGGGUCCUCGGUUCCUCGGGUCCGAACCUACACAGGUGGACUCAAAUGAGGGACCAAACAUACAUGAACAUAACUCUAAACUACUCCCCAAAAACCCCCUAAAACAUCAUGAAACAACCAUAGAAAAACAUGCAAAGGAGGGCUGGACAGGGCACUUUCGGCGACAGGUUCGGCGGCCGAAAGUCCCUCCAGAGCCGAAAGUCAGGCAGGUUCGGCGGCACCUUCGGCGGCCGAAACUCCCAGACAGAGACGAAACUCAUGCAUGUUUGGCGGCACUUUCGGCGGCCGAAACUCCCAGACAGAGACGAAAGUCUCCUUUCGGGAGCAGGCUUCGGCAGCCGAAAGGCUUGCCUCCCAGGCAGGUUCGGCGGCCGAAAAUCCUUCGGCUGCCGAACCUGGUUUCUGCCAAGGGGCAGAAACUUGGUUCCUCAUGCAUAGUUGCCUCCCAAACCUUUUAGAUCAAGCAUACAUCUCAUUCAAAACAUGCAUAGAUACAUACAUCAGCUCCUAGGGGCUUCAAACUAUCCUAAACCCCAUCUACAACACAUCAAACCCACACAACCAAUCAUACAUUGUCCAUAAAACACAUAAAACCUAACAAAGCUCAACUAACAUAAACAUACAUUUCUACCCCAUAGAUCAACUUAAAACUUGUUUAAAACAUAUAGUGAGCUCAAGAUCGGUCCUUACCUCUUGAAGAUCGAGAGGAAAACGACCCUAGCUCGAAGAUGGGAGAGAUUGAGCUCCUUGAACCUCAAAGCUCCAAAACUUGCUUUAAACUCGAAAAUCUUCAAAACAAAGUGAAAACUUGUGAAAAUCGUGAAGGAUUUGAAGGAAGAAACUCAAGAUCGGUGAGGGACGGCGGAGAGCUCACCUUGGCCGAAAUGGGGAGAAAAAGCUCGCCCGUUUUCGGCUAAGGGACCCCUUUAUAGGUGGCUGGCCAGGCCACAUUCGGGAGCCGAACGUGCCUCCGCAUGCAUGCCAUGUUCGGCGGCCGAACAUAAGGUUCGGUGGCCGAACCUGGACUUCCCUCACUUAUGCUUUCGGGGGCCUAAGGCACACCCGAAGCGCAUGCAUGUUCGGCGGCCGAACCUGGGUCUUCCUCCAAAACCAAUUCCAUGCAAAAACUCAUUUCUUACUUGAUUAAAACCAUAAAACUCAUUAAAACAUUUUAUGAAAACAUGGUUUUUACCCUUCUAGAGGUCUCUGACACCCGAGAUUCCACCGGACGGUAGGAAUUCCGAUACCGGAUUCUAGCCGGGUAUUACAACCACUAGGAAGAUGCUUCAAAUGGGUUGUCAAGCGUACCUAGCCUAUGUGAUGGACAGUAGCCUAGAAGAACCUAAAUUGGAAGAUAUACCAGUAGUAAGCGAGUUUCCUGAUGUAUUCCCUGAAGAGCUUCCCUGGUUGCCUCUAGAUAGAGGAGUCAAUUCUCUAUUGAUUUAAAUCUAGGUACAACUCCUAUUUCUAUGGCACCAUACAGAAUUGCUUCAGCAGAAUUGAAGGAGUUAAAAGCACAAUUGCAAGAGCUACUUGAUAAAGGUUUCGUAAGACCUAGUGUUUCACCUUGAGGAGCCCCUGAGUUAUUUGUGAAGAAGAAGGAUGGUUCCUUAAGGCUAUGUAUUGACUACAGAUAAUUAAAUCGAGUCACAGUGCGAAAUAAGUAUCCUUUAUCCCGCAUUGAUGAUCUUUUUUAUCAGCUCCAAGAUGCUAAGGUGUUCUCUAAGAUUGAUUUGCGGUCUGGAUAUCAUCAAUUGCUCGCGGUUGUCGAAGUCGGUCAAAAAUAACCUUUCCGGUUAUCAACAAUAUUACUACUGCAGAUAGUGGUAAAGGAUCGAAUCCACAGAGAAUUGAAAACUUAUCUAUCUUUCUUAACAAGACCAAAAGAAUUAACUGAAAGCAAAUAACUGAAAGAGAAGUAAACUAAAAGCGAAUAAACUGAAAGUAAAAUGGGGAGUUUUGAGAUUGAUUUAAUUGAUCUAAUUCUGAAAGCAGUAAAAGUAAAGCGAAUAAUUAAAAUAAAGGGAAUUCAAUAAUGAAAAGCUCUAGUUGAAGAAUUGGAUUCACUUCAGUUGUUAGGAUUGAUCAUUGAAACUUAUGUAUUUUGAUUGAUUCAAUAGAUUAGUUAUGGAGAUGGAAAAUGCUUCUCACCACCAUGUCUCUCCUUAAUCAUAAACCGAUUAGGGAACGUCCUCUAAUUAAUUACUAAUUAACAAGUUGCCAAGGAACGUCCUUGGACCUUAGGCAUCAAAACAACUGUCAAUUGCAUUAGGAGAUAGAGAGAGCCAAUCCUAGCUACUCAAAUGCAUGAGAUGUUGCUAGAUCAUACAAUUUCCUUAGUUUUUACAUCAAGUGUUCUUAUGUUUGAACAAUCCAAGAAAUUACGGACUCAAAAUUAUCCAAACUAUCAAUAUAUUACCUUGCAAUCAAAAAUCAAGUGGCCACAUUGAUCAAAAUAACAAAGCAGUAAUGGAAUCAAGCAUGAAAUUGUAUGAAUACUAAAUAAACCAAAGACAAACAAUGUAUGUUCAGAUCUCACAAUCCAUAAAACAACUUAAGUUUCAAUCAAUCUUCAACUAGAAAAAAGGUUUCAGCCACUCAUGGCUGAAACAAAAACAAGACAAUGAAGAAAGGAAGAAGAAGAGAUGAUGCCACUUGCAAUCCCGUAGGUGUGUCCAAGAGAGAGUAGAAAAAGCAUGGAGAGGCUCCUUAUGUGUCUUUUUAUAGUUGAAAGUGUUGCCCUAGGUCCUUACUUGUAAUACCCGGCUAGACUCCGGUAUCGGAAUUCCUACCGUCCGAUGGAAUCUCGGGUGUCGGAGACUUCUAGAAGGGUAAAACCAUGUUUUCAUAAAAUGUUUUAAUGAGUUUUAUGGUUUUAAUCAAGUAAGAAAUGAGUUUUUGCAUGAAAAUAGCCUUGGAGGAAAACUCAGGUUCGGCCGCCGAACCUCAAGUUCGGCCGCCGAACAUGCAUGCGCUUCGAGUGUGCCUUAGGCCCCCGAAAGCAUAAGUGAGGGAAGUCCAGGUUCGGCCGCCGAACAUGGCAUGCAUGCAGAGGCACGUUCGGCUCCCGAAUGUGGCCUGGCCAGCCACCUAUAAAGGGGUCCCUUAGCCGAAAACGGGCGAGCUUUUCUCCCCAUUUUCGGCCAAGGUGAGCUCUCCGCCGUCCCUCACCGAUCUUGUAACGACCCAAAAAUCGGACCGCUACCGGCGCUAGGAUCCAGGUCGGCUUAAGGCCGCCGGGACCCAUAGCAAGCCCAACAUACAUCCUGCAAACCUGCUUAAUCCCAUACAUGAUCAAGAAUAUACAUAAAAAUUUAAAACUUUUCUUUCAUACACCAAACUCAACCUGUGCAUGCACUGAACAUAAUCAUAAUCAUAACUAUGACCCCUCUGUGGGAUCUCAUCAAUGCCCCAAUGGGCGGUACAACAUAUGUUGAGUUGGUUUACAUAAACAUCAUAAAACAUCUAAGAUCAUGUAUUAAAGGGAUAACAACUCUUUAUGGUCAAGCACACCUCUAUCAUCCAUAAGCCUUAUUACAUUUCAUGUCUAACUAUACUUUUACAUAACAUCAAAUACAUUUAUCAUGUCCACUCUAUCUAUUACAAACACACGACUUCAUUACUCUUGCGGACCUCCUGGUCUACCCUGUACCUGCAAACCUGGGAAAUUUGGGAGAGGAGUGAGCUACUAGAGCCCAGUGAGCAGAAUAAUAAAACAUUCAAAACAUAUGAUAACAUGGAAUGCAUCACAUCACAGCUAAUCACAUCAAGGAUGAACUUGUCACCAAUAGCCCUCUACAUAGUCCAACUGUGCCAGAACGUAGAAUGGGUCCUGGUCUUUCCCUUACAUAGCAUAACAUAACAGUCCAACUGUGCCAGAACGUAGAAUGGGUCCUGGUCUUUCUCUAACAUAGUGCCAGCGAACGUAGAAUGGGUCCCACUGGUCUUACAUUCCGUACCGUACAUAUCACAUCGUCACAUCAUAGAUCAAGGGCUAUGGAUCAUCCAACAUUCAUCCACAACAACAUUAAAAUAUGCAAUGCAACAUAUUCUUGAAUUCUAAUGCAAACAACCUAAAACAUCACAUGGCAUUUAUGAUGCAUGAACAUGCUCAAAACUUUACAAUUGAUUUACUUUAAAACGUAAAGGUUUAUUCUACUCACCUCUGGAUAGCUCUGACUAGACACUGGAGCAGCUGACUCACUACUGGGGUCCUCGGUUCCUCGGGUCCGAACCUACACAGGUGGACUCAAAUGAGGGACCAAACAACUAGAACAUAACUCUGAAAACAUCCCCCAAAAACCCUCUAAAACUCCUCAAAACAUCCAUGCAAAAACAUGCAAAGGAAGGCUGGACAGGGCACUUUCGGCGGCAGGUUCGGCGGCUGAAAGUCCCUCCAGAGCCGAAAGUCAGGCAGGUUCGGCGGCACCUUCGGUGGUCGAAACUCCUAGACAGAGACGAAACUCAUGCAUGUUCAGCGGCACUUUCGGCGGCCGAAACUCCCAGACAGAGACGAAAGUCUCCUUUCAGGGGCAGGCUUCGGCAGCCGAAAGGCUGGCCUCCCAGGCAGGUUCGGCGGCCGAAAGUCCUUCGGCUGCCGAACCUGGUUUCCGUCAAAGGGCAGAAACUUGGUUCCUCAUGCACAAACGCCUCCCAAACUUUUCAAACAUGCAUAAACCUAUUCUACAACACUCCCAAACAUACACAAGCAAGCAUACAAGUUCCUAGGGGCUUCAAACCAUCAAAAACCCCAACUACAACACAUCAAACAACUCACAUUGAUCAUAAGCAUAACAUGAACCCAUAAACCUAACCAUGAGCUAAACAUGCAUUCUUCCCCAUAGAUCUACUUAAAACUUGCUUAAAACAUGCUAUAAGCUCAAGAUUGGCCAUUACCUCUUGAAGAUCGAGAGAAGAACGACCCUAGCUCAGAAAAUGGGAGAGAGAGAGUUUCUUGAACCUCCAAGCUCCAAAACUUGCUCAAAUGCUCAAAACCUUUAAAACAAAGUUGCAAACUCAUAAAAAUAAUGAAGAAUGGAAGGAAGAAACUCAAGAUCGGUGAGGGACGGUGGAGAGCUCACCUUGGCCGAAAAUGGGGAGAAAAGCUCGCCCGUUUUCGGCUAAGGGACCCAUUUAUAGGUGGCUGGCCAGGCCACGUUCGGGAGCCGAAAGUGCCUCCGCAUGCAUGCCAUGUUCGGCGGCCGAACUUGAGGUUCGGCGGCCGAACCUGGACUUCCCUCACUUAUGCUUUCGGGGGCCUAAGGCACACCCGAAGCGCAUGCAUGUUCGGCGGCCGAACUUGAGGUUCGACGGCCGAACCUGAGUUUUCCUCCAAGGUUGUUUUCAUGCAAAAACUCAUUUCCUUUUUAAUUAAAACCAUGAAAUACAUUAAAAAAUUUUAUGAAAACAUGUUUCUACCCUACUAGAGGCUUCCGACACCCGAGAUUCCAUCGGACGGUAGGAAUUCCGAUACCGGAGUCUAGCCGGGUAUUACAUUCUCCCCCCCUUAAGAACAUUCGUCCCCGAAUGUUCCUCAACUAACACAUAGCAUGGCAUAAACAAAACAUACACAAACAACACAUAUGAGACUGACCUUAGAAAAGAUAAGGGUAUUGCUGGAGCAUGGACUCCCGUGUCUCCCAGGUGCAUUCUUCCAUAUUGUGGUGGUUCCAAAGGACUUUCACCAUCGGGAUUUCCUUGUUCCUUAGCUUCCUGAUCUGGGUGUCUAUGAUCCGUACUGGCUGUUCAACAUAAGUGAGAUCUUCUUGGAUCUCCACAUCAGGCUCACUAAGAACCUUGCCCGGAUUUGACACAAACUUUCUCAACAUGGAAACAUGGAAAACCGGAUGGAUUCUUUCCAUUGAAGCAGGUAAAUCCAGCUUGUACGACACAUUCCCAAUCCUUUGCAAGAUUUCAAAGGGUCCGAUGUAUCGUGGGGCUAGUUUACCUUUCUUCCCGAAGCGAACCACUCCUUUCAUAGGAGACACCUUGAGCAAUACCAGAUCCCCCUCCUGAAACUCUACCUGUCUUCUGCGGAUGUCUGCAUAACUCUUCUGUCUGCUUGCAGCAGUUUUGAUCCUUUCUCUGAUUAUGGGUACUACCCUGCUGGUAAUCUCUACUAGCUCAGGCCCUGCCAAGGCCUUUUCUCCAACUUCUUCCCAGCAAAUAGGUGAUCUGCACUUCCUCCCAUACAAAGCUUCAUAUGGAGCCAUCCCGAUGCUACAUGAUGGCUGUUAUUGUAGGCAAACUCCACCAAAGGUAGAUGCUGCCUCCAAGAACCGCCAAAGUCCAGCACACACAUUCUGAGCAUAUCCUCUAUGGUCUGGAUGGUCCUUUCUGAUUGUCCGUCCGUCUGUGGAUGGAAAGCAGUGCUAAAAUCCAACCUGGUACCCAUGGCAUUCUGCAGACUCAGCCAAAAUCUGGAGGUGAACUGGGGCCCUCUAUCGGACACUAUUGAAACAAGAACCCCAUGCAAUCUGACGAUCUCAUCAACGUACACCUGUGCCAACUUGUCCACAGAAUAGCCACUCCUGACAGGGAUGAAGUGAGCAGAUUUGGUGAGUCUGUCCACAAUCACCCAUAUGGAGUCCAAUCUGUUGGACACCGCCGGUAACCCCACUAUGAAGUCCAUAGCUAUAUUCUCCCAUUUCCACUCUAGAAUAGGUAGCGGGUUAAGCAUUCCAGCCGGCUUCUGAUGUUCCAGCUUCACCCUCUGACACACUUCGCAGGCUAACACAAACUGUGCCACUUCUUUCUUCAUAGCUGGCCACCAAUAAACCUUCUUCAGAUCUUGAUACAUCUUGGUGGCUCCGGGGGUGAACGCUGUACCUUGCAUUAUGAGCCUCUCUCAUAAUGUCUCCUUUUAGCCCUAUGUCAUCUGGUACACAUAGUCUGCUCCCAUAGCGGAGGAUCCCUUUGCUGUCGAAUCUGAACUCACUAUCUUUGCCUGACUGAACAGUCCUGGAAAUCUUCACUAACUCUGGGUCCUCAUGCUGUUUCUGAGCCACCUGCUCCAGAAACACGGGUGCCACUCUCAUCUGGGCUACCAAAGCACCUGUACCAAACAACUCCAACUGUAGACCUUCCUCCAUGAGCUUGUAAAACUCCUUUACCACUGGCCUCCUCUCUGCUGAUAUAUGGGAUAAACUGCCGAGUGAUUUCCGGCUUAAGGCGUCCGCCACCACAUUCGCCUUACCCGGAUGGUACUGAAUCUUGCAAUCAUAGUCACUCAGCAGCUCCACCCAUCUUCUCUGUCUCAAGUUCAAAUCUCUUUCACUCAGGAUGUACUGUAGGCUCUUAUGAUCCAUGAAGAUCUCACAUUUAACCCCAUAGAGGUAGUGCCUCCACAUCUUGAGUGCAAAGAUUACUGCUGCCAUCUCCAAGUCAUGUGUGGGGUAAUUUAACUCAUGCUUCUUCAGCUGUCUAGAAGCAUAAGCAAUCACCCUUUCAUUCUGCAUUAACACACAACCUAGUCCCUCACGGGACGCAUCACAAUACACUGAGAAGUCUUCAUUGCUAGAUGGCAGGGCUAACACUGGUGUUGAAGUCAACCUCUUCUUGAGCUUCUCAAAGCUCUCUUCACACUGGUCGGUCCACACGAACCUUUGGUUCUUCCUGGUCAAUCUAGUCAGAGGAGCUGUAAUCUUUGAGAAGUCCUGAACGAACCUCCUGUAGUAACCUGCCAAACCCAAGAAACUUCUAAUCUCUGUCACUGAAGUGGGUCUAGGCUAGUUAGCCAUAGCUUCUAUCUUCUUGGGGUCCACCUCUAUCCCAUUUUCUGACACUACAUGCCCCAAGAAUGAAAUACUCCUCAGCCAGAACUCACACUUAGAGAACUUGGCAUACAAGCCAUGUUCCCUCAAGGUCUGCAGAACUAACCUCAGAUGAUGGGCAUGCUCCUCUGCAUUCCUGGAAUACACCAAGAUAUCAUCUAUGAAGACAAUAACAAAUUGAUCCAGGUAUUGGCUAAACACUCUAUUCAUGAGAUCCAUGAAUGCUGCAGGGGCGUUGGUUAACCCGAACGGCAUUACAAGGAACUCAAAAUGCCCAUAUCUGGUUCUAAAAGCUGUCUUUGGCACAUCUUCUUCUCUUAUCCUCAGCUGAUGGUACCCAGAUCUCAGAUCUAUUUUGGAGAAACAACCCGCUCCGGCUAGCUGGUCGAAUAGAUCGUCGAUCCUUGGCAGAGGGUACCUGUUCUUGGUAGUGACUUUGUUCAACUGCCUGUAGUCGAUACAAAGUCUAAGGGAUCCAUCCUUCUUUUUCACAAACAAGAUUGGAGCACCCCAAGGUGAGGUACUCGGUCGGAUGAAGUCCUUUUCUACCAGCUCUUGCAACUGCUCUUUCAACUCCUUCAACUCGGCUGGGGCCAUCCUGUAGGGAGGGAUAGAGAUCGGUCUAGUGCCAGGCAUCAACUCUAUCUCGAACUCUAUCUCCCUAGCAGGUGGUAAACCUGGAAGCUCAUCUGGAAAAACAUCCUGAAACUCUCUGACAACUGGCACCGAGGCUGGCUCUCUGACCUGACUAUCUAGCUCUCUCACAUGAGCCAAAUACCCCUGACAUCCCUUCCUAAGCAACCUACGAGCCUGAAGAGCUGAUAUCAGACCUCUAGGUGUACCCCUCUUGUCUCCUCUAAAGAAGACUUCUGACCCGUUCUGAUCUCUGAACCUGACUACCUUGUCUCUGCAGUCCAAGGUAGCACCAUGGGUAGAUAGCCAAUCCAUCCCUAGAAUGACGUCAAAGUCUGUCAAAUCUAGAACCAUAAGGUUGGCGGAGAGGCAUCUUCCCUCAACAAAAACUGGACUGUACUGGCAGACUGACUUUGCCACUGACAGGUCACACUGACCCAUAGGGGACACUCUAACCCAGAGACUAUCAGACCCAACCUCUCAACGGCUCUCGGAGCAAUAAAAGAAUGAGAUGCACCCGGGUCCAUUAAUGCAUACACAUCAGAACACCCAAUGAUGAGAUUACCUGACACCACGGUGUUGGAUGUGUUAGCCUCCUGCUGAGUCAUGGUGAAGAUCCUGGCUGGAGCUGAUGGACCUUCACCUCGGGAAGCAGGAGAAGAGGCUGCCCCUCUCCCUCUACCUCUGCCACUGCCCUGAGUUGUGGCUGGAGCUGCUGGCUGUGCCACACUACCAGAAGCUGUCUGCUGGGGCUGGCCCAUAAAAGAUGCUCUAGGACACUCCCGAGCCAUGUGUCCCUCCUUUUCACAUCUGAAACACGUAUUAGUCCCAGCCCGACACACUCCCUUGUGUGGCUUCCCACACCUUAGGCAUUCUGUACCAUCUGAGCCUGAGCUCGAACCACCGCCUAAACCCAAACCGGACUUCAACUUAUUCCAGAACUUGUUCUUCUUCGGCUUCUUGGUGGUGUUAUUCCACCUCUUGCUACCUGAGCUCUGAGAAGAGAGACCUGGCCCUCCUCUGCCUGGGGUCUUAACCCCUGAAGAUUGGGUCACUGACUGCUUCACUGACCCCUCAACUAUAGCACUCGCCUCCAUCCUUCGAGCCAUAUCCACCACAGUGUGGAAACUUUCCCUCUCAACUGACUGAAUCAAAGAGGAGUACCUAGAAUGUAGCUUCAUAACAUAUCUCUUGGCUUUCUUCGAAUCUGUAUCUAGAGCUUGCCCUGAAAAAGGCAAUAGCUCCAAGAAUUUAUCCGUGAACUCCUCUACACUCAUGUGUUAUGUCUGCCUCAGCUGUUCAAACUCAAUCAUCUUCAGUUCUCUAGAACUGUCUGGAAAAGCCCAUCCAGCGAACUCAUUUGCAAAUUCUUCCCAUGUCAUGCCGUCUAGUCUCGGGUCCACAUAACACUUGAACCAUUCCCGUGCCUUUUUGCACUUUAGGGUGAACCCCGCCAUCUGAAUGGCCCUGCUGUCGUCUGCCCCUAGCUCAUCGGUUAUUGUCUUCACUACUCUCAGGUACUCAAAGGGAUCACCCCCUGACUUGUAUUUGGGAGCAUCCAACUUAAGGUAAUCUGUCAUCUUUACUUUGCUCCCACUGGCUGAGCUAGGUCUAGAAGGUUGAGUAACUGGGGCUGCUGGUUCUGUAGGUGGUGGAGGUGGGGGUGCAGCAUUCCCCGAGGUGGGGUUUGCCGG
Molecule: long non-coding RNA, 12152 nt
Filed under: Manihot esculenta (cassava)
Lineage: Eukaryota; Viridiplantae; Streptophyta; Magnoliopsida; Malpighiales; Euphorbiaceae
Description: long non-coding RNA (MESC_LNC003289)
Source: RNAcentral